Dreissena polymorpha is the source of this 371-nucleotide long non-coding RNA. RefSeq lists it as uncharacterized. The transcript has 3 exons. Lineage: Eukaryota; Metazoa; Mollusca; Bivalvia; Myida; Dreissenidae. The record is from RefSeq and is a predicted model, not a curated record.
GUAUGUGCACAGGCUAAUCAGGGACGACAUCCCAGGUAUGUGCACAGGCUAAUCAGGGACGACAUCUCAGGUAUGUGCACAGGCUAAUCAGGGACGACAUCCCAGGUAUGUGCACAGGCUAAUCAGGGACGACAUCUCAGGUAUGUGCACAGGCUAAUCAGGGACGACAUCCCAGGUAUGUGCACAGGCUAAUCAGGGACGACAUCUCAGGUAUGUGCACAGGCUAAUCAGGGACGACAUCUCAGGUAUGUGCACAGGCUAAUCAGGGACGACAUCUCAGGUAUGUGCACAGGCUAAUCAGGGACGACACAUUCUGCCUAGACUGGAUUUAUUCUAAGAAGAUACUUCCUAUAAACGAAACAUACUAUACA